This 363-nucleotide unclassified non-coding RNA is filed under the name uncultured bacterium. RNAcentral describes it as "contains 16S-23S intergenic spacer region". The record is from RNAcentral.
UCCCUGUUGCCAGGGCAGUCUGAUUAGAAAAAUUCAACUAAUCACAAGGGUUGCGCUCGUUGAUGGACUUAACCAAACAUCUCACGACACGAGCUGACGACGGCCAUGCAACACCUGUCACCGAGUUCAAAAAUGCACUCCCUCCUUUCGGAAGGAUUCUCGGGAUGUCAAACCUGGGUAAGGUUCUUCGCUUACCAUCGAAUUAAACAACACGCUCCACCGCUUGUGCGGGUCCCCGUCAAUUCCUUUAUGUUUUAGUCUUGCGACCGUACUCCACAGGCGGGAUGCUUAACGCGUUAGCUUCGCUACUAGAGGGGUCGAUACCUCUAACAGCUAGCAUCCAUAGUUUACGGCGUGGACUAC